GUCUUUUUGAUUUUAAUUUAAAGUUUAACCUGCCCAUUGAAAAUUUUUAAAAGGCUGCGGUAUUUUGACUGUACAAAGGUAGCAUAAUCAUUAGUUUUUUAAUUGAAAACUUGUAUGAAUGGUUGAAUGAGAAAUUAACUUUUUUAAAAAAAUAAUUGAAUUUUACUUUUUAAUUAAAAGGUUAAAAUAAAUUUAAAAGACGAGAAGACCCUAUAGAGUUUUAUAAUUUUUAUUUAAUAUUUAAAAAGAUUAAUUAAAAUUUUAUAAAAGAAAAUAUUUUGUUGGGGUGAUAAUAAAAUUUAAAUAACUUUUAUUUUUUUUUUACAUUAAUAUAUGAAUUUAUGAUCCAUUAUUGAUGAUUAGAAAUUUAAAUUACCUUAGGGAUAACAGCGUAAUUUUUUUUAAAAGUUCAUAUUAAUAAAAAAUUUUGCGACCUCGAUGUUGGAUUAAGAUUUAAUUUUAGGUGCAGCAGUUUAAAUUUUAAGUCUGUUCGACUUUUAAAUUCUU
RNAcentral lists this ribosomal RNA (507 nucleotides) under Pseudolycoriella gonotegmenta. RNAcentral describes it as "partial 16S ribosomal RNA". The record is from RNAcentral. Lineage: Eukaryota; Metazoa; Arthropoda; Insecta; Diptera; Sciaridae.